AGGUUUGAUCCUGGCUCAGGACUAACGCUGGCGGCGUGCCUAACACAUGCAAGUCGAACGGGGUAGCAAUACCCAGUGGCAGACGGGUGAGUAACACGUGGUCAACCUACCCCUGUGUGGGGGAUAACUAGCCGAAAGGUUAGCUAAUACCGCAUGCGAUCGUUUGGAGGCAUCUUCGAACGAUGAAAGGAGCAAUCCGC
RNAcentral lists this ribosomal RNA (200 nucleotides) under uncultured bacterium. RNAcentral describes it as "partial 16S ribosomal RNA". It matches the Rfam family "Bacterial small subunit ribosomal RNA", at positions 9 to 218 of the family's 1533-position model. The record is from RNAcentral.